RNAcentral lists this ribosomal RNA (418 nucleotides) under uncultured bacterium. RNAcentral describes it as "bacterial SSU rRNA". It matches the Rfam family "Bacterial small subunit ribosomal RNA", at positions 207 to 622 of the family's 1533-position model. The record is from RNAcentral.
AAGACCUUGCACUUUUGGAGCGGCCGAUGUCUGAUUAGCUAGUUGGUAAGGUAAAAGCUUACCAAAGCUUCGAUCAGUAGCUGGUCUGAGAGGACGGCCAGCCACACUGGGACUGAGACACGGCCCAGACUCCUACGGGAGGCAGCAGUGGGGAAUUUUGGACAAUGGGGGCAACCCUGAUCCAGCCAUGCCGCGUGAGUGAAGAAGGCCUUCGGGUUGUAAAGCUCUUUCAGCCGGGAAGAAAAGGUUGCGAAUANGCGAUCCCUGACGGUACCGAAAGAAGAAGCACCGGCUAACUACGUGCCAGCAGCCGCGGUAAUACGUAGGGUGCGAGCGUUAAUCGGAAUUACUGGGCGUAAAGGGUGCGCAGGUGGUUUUGUAAGUCAGAUGUGAAAUCCCCGGGCUUAACCUGGGAACU